CCUACGGGGGGCACCAGUGGGGAAUAUUGCACAAUGGGCGCAAGCCUGAUGCAGCCAUGCCGCGUGUAUGAAGAAGGCCCUAGGGUUGUAAAGUACUUUCAGUCGGGAGGAAGGCGUUGAUGUUAAUAUCAUCAACGAUUGACGUUACCGACAGAAGAAGCACCGGCUAACACCGUGCCAGCAGCCGCGGUAAUACGGGGGGUGCAAGAGUUAAUCGGAAUUACUGGGCGUAAAGCGCACGCAGGCGGUUGAUUAAGUUAGAUGUGAAAUCCCCGGGCUUAACCUGGGAAUGGCAUCUAAGACUGGUCAGCUAGAGUCUUGUAGAGGGGGGUGGAAUUCCAUGUGUAGCGGUGAAAUGCAUAGAGAUGUGGAGGAAUACCGGUGGCGAAGGCGGCCCCCUGGACAAAGACUGACGCUCAGGUGCGAAAGCGUGGGGAGCAAACAGGAUUAGAUACCCCCGUAGUC
RNAcentral lists this ribosomal RNA (465 nucleotides) under uncultured bacterium. RNAcentral's name for it is "bacterial SSU rRNA". It matches the Rfam family "Bacterial small subunit ribosomal RNA", at positions 338 to 795 of the family's 1533-position model. The record is from RNAcentral.